CUGUAGCUCAGCUGGAUAGAGCAACGGCCUUCUAAGCCGUGGGUCGGGGGUUCGAAUCCCUUCAG
RNAcentral lists this transfer RNA (65 nucleotides) under Blautia obeum. It matches the Rfam family "tRNA", at positions 5 to 66 of the family's 71-position model. Rfam says of the family: Transfer RNA (tRNA) molecules are approximately 80 nucleotides in length. Their secondary structure includes four short double-helical elements and three loops (D, anti-codon, and T loops). Lineage: Bacteria; Bacillati; Bacillota; Clostridia; Lachnospirales; Lachnospiraceae. The record is from RNAcentral. RNAcentral also lists the same sequence under 9 other names.